This 253-nucleotide ribosomal RNA is filed under the name uncultured bacterium. Its description in RNAcentral is "partial 16S ribosomal RNA". It matches the Rfam family "Bacterial small subunit ribosomal RNA", at positions 524 to 776 of the family's 1533-position model. The record is from RNAcentral.
UACGGGGGGGGCAAGCGUUGUUCGGAAUUACUGGGCGUAAAGGGCUCGUAGGGGGCCAACUAAGUCAGACGUGAAAUCCCUCGGCUUAACCGGGGAACUGCGUCUGAUACUGGAUGGCUUGAGUUCGGGAGAGGGAUGCGGAAUUCCAGGUGUAGCGGUGAAAUGCGUAGAUCUACGAAGGAACGCCAAAAGCGAAGGCAGCUCUCUGGGUCCCUACCGACGCUGGGGUGCGAAAGCAUGGGGAGCGAACAGG